AUUGAACGCUGGCGGCAGGCCUAACACAUGCAAGUCGAGCGGAUGAAGGGAGCUUGCUCCUGGAUUCAGCGGCGGACGGGUGAGUAAUGCCUAGGAAUCUGCCUGGUAGUGGGGGAUAACGUCCGGAAACGGGCGCUAAUACCGCAUACGUCCUGAGGGAGAAAGUGGGGGAUCUUCGGACCUCACGCUAUCAGAUGAGCCUAGGUCGGAUUAGCUAGUUGGUGGGGUAAAGGCCUACCAAGGCGACGAUCCGUAACUGGUCUGAGAGGAUGAUCAGUCACAGGGGAACGGAGAGCCGGUCAACACCCACAGGGGGGGACCCAGGGGGAAUUUUUGGAAAAGGGGCAAAAACCGAAUCCCCCCCUCCCGCGUGUGGAAAAAAGGUCUUCGAUUAGUAAGGCACUUUAGUGGGGAGGAAAGGAAGUUAAUUAAAUCCCUUCCUUUUUUCAGUUUCCCAAAAAAAAAGGCCCGGAUAAACUCCGGG
This 484-nucleotide ribosomal RNA is filed under the name uncultured bacterium. Its description in RNAcentral is "partial 16S ribosomal RNA". It matches the Rfam family "Bacterial small subunit ribosomal RNA", at positions 30 to 507 of the family's 1533-position model. The record is from RNAcentral.